AACGAACGCUGGCGGCAUGCCUAACACAUGCAAGUCGAACGAAGCUUUCGGGCUUAGUGGCGCACGGGUGCGUAACACGUGGGAAUCUGCCCUUCGGUUCGGAAUAACAGUUAGAAAUGACUGCUAAUACCGGAUGAUGACGUAAGUCCAAAGAUUUAUCGCCGAAGGAUGAGCCCGCGUAGGAUUAGGUAGUUGGUAGGGUAAUGGCCUACCAAGCCGACGAUCCUUAGCUGGUCUGAGAGGAUGAUCAGCCACACUGGGACUGAGACACGGCCCAGACUCCUACGGGAGGCAGCAGUGGGGAAUAUUGGACAAUGGGCGAAAGCCUGAUCCAGCAAUGCCGCGUGAGUGAUGAAGG
RNAcentral lists this ribosomal RNA (358 nucleotides) under uncultured bacterium. Its description in RNAcentral is "bacterial SSU rRNA". It matches the Rfam family "Bacterial small subunit ribosomal RNA", at positions 29 to 414 of the family's 1533-position model. The record is from RNAcentral.